CACAUAAUUUGUAAACAAUAAACGGCCGGUUUGUUUUUUCGUUUAUAAUAUGUCGUAGCCCCACGUGAGUGCUCCUCUAACUAGUACUGUGUAUACUUAAGGAAAAUGGACCUUUUACAACCGGAUCACAAUCGGAGAACGUAUCAGCGUACCUCCCGAUAUGACUGGUCUUUUAUCGGAGUGGUUAACAUUCGAGUUAUCAUCUCAUAGCCACGUCUGUGGUGCGUGUUAUGACAAGAUAUCAAGAUGUCUUGCAACGAAUUCCAGUGAAAGACAACUCGGUCAUAUCAAUGUAUGGCUGUGGUAAAUCAGUUACACAUGCCAAAAGACACGAAAUUCUGGAGGGAAGCCCUCCGGCCUCAGUUGUAUCACUGUGGCAGUACUUACAUGAUGACAUGUUAGAGCAGCCAACUUUUUAUGUCAUGGUUGUUACAUGAGAGCUAACAGAGAAGUGAGCCGAAGAAUUAUUACUGAUUCCAACCGUUUUGACGCCUUAGAAGAUCACCAACCUGAUCAAAAUAUCCAAAUACCAAUUCCUCCACCACUUGCCCCACAACUUCAUCUUGGCCCAGGUCAAGAUGUUUCAUCAA
This is a long non-coding RNA of Trichoplusia ni (cabbage looper), 590 nucleotides long. RefSeq lists it as uncharacterized. The transcript has 3 exons. The record is from RefSeq and is a predicted model, not a curated record. Lineage: Eukaryota; Metazoa; Arthropoda; Insecta; Lepidoptera; Noctuidae.